UGAUCAAUGUACUCUUGCUGAUACAUGACC
This 30-nucleotide non-coding RNA is filed under the name Rattus norvegicus (Norway rat). Lineage: Eukaryota; Metazoa; Chordata; Mammalia; Rodentia; Muridae. The record is from RNAcentral.